CGGGCGGCCGGGGGCCGGCGGCGGGGCGGCGCGGCGAGCACCGGGAUGGGAGCGGCAGCCGCCGUGCUGCUGGGCCGCGCGCGCCCUCCCCUCGUCGGCAGCGCUGCGCUGGAGGCGGCGGCGGCGGCGGCUAAGAUGGCGGCGGCGCUCUCUCUCGGGACUGCAGAGCCUGGGGCCUCAGAGCUCCAGCACCCGGCCACUUCAUCCAAGCGGUGUCACCUCCAAGUACCUCAGUGACCUCCUCUGCAGAGUGGAGUCCCUACCUCUAGACCACGCCCCAGCGCUCCUCCCAACCAAAGAUGCCAGCAGACGACGUUGCUGACACGGGAGACUUCCUAGUGCCACCUCAGCUGCUCUCCGA
Molecule: long non-coding RNA, 361 nt
Organism: Mastomys coucha (southern multimammate mouse)
Lineage: Eukaryota; Metazoa; Chordata; Mammalia; Rodentia; Muridae
Exons: 3
Source: RefSeq, a predicted model, not a curated record